GUAGGUUUUUUCCCUUCAACUGCAUAGUUGCGCUUGCAAGUAUUACGAUCCCUCUAUUCCACACAUCUCACUAGCUCAUGUCAGUUCCACCAAAAACUCUCAUUUGUUGAAGGGGAGGAUAGUGUGCUUUAGACGCCAAGCGGGAAAGGGUUUCUUACUUCAAUAUCUAGCAUAACAAUGAAGCGUAAUGGACAGUGAAGUGACAUGCUUAUAAUAGUGCAAUACUCAUUGUUGUAAACUUUGUAAGUGCUAUGUAGCAAAAUCUUAUUACUAGUUUAUAAUUGAGCCAUAGUAGCUUUAGCAGAGGUCUUUGUCAAGUCUAUCAACAUGAAGUACUUUGAUGAAUUAGAAUUGGAUGAGAUCCUUGGACUUUUA
Cicer arietinum (chickpea) is the source of this 375-nucleotide non-coding RNA. NCBI's taxonomy places the organism in Eukaryota, Viridiplantae, Streptophyta, Magnoliopsida, Fabales, Fabaceae. The record is from RefSeq and is a predicted model, not a curated record.